RNAcentral lists this ribosomal RNA (254 nucleotides) under uncultured bacterium. Its description in RNAcentral is "partial 16S ribosomal RNA". It matches the Rfam family "Bacterial small subunit ribosomal RNA", at positions 524 to 776 of the family's 1533-position model. The record is from RNAcentral.
UACGUAGGGUGCGAGCGUUGUCCGGAAUUAUUGGGCGUAAAGAGCUCGUAGGCGGUGUGUCGCGUCGGCCGUGAAAACCUGGGGCUUAACUCUGGGCGUGCGGUCGAUACGGGCAUCACUAGAGUUCGGCAGGGGAGACUGGAAUUCCUGGUGUAGCGGUGAAAUGCGCAGAUAUCAGGAGGAACACCGGUGGCGAAGGCGGGUCUCUGGGCCGAUACUGACGCUGAGGAGCGAAAGCUGGGGGAGCAAACGGG